This 3201-nucleotide long non-coding RNA is filed under the name Sus scrofa (pig). Its description in RNAcentral is "lncRNA (ENSSSCG00045013847.1)". The record is from RNAcentral. Lineage: Eukaryota; Metazoa; Chordata; Mammalia; Artiodactyla; Suidae.
GAGCACCCCUACCGUCCUGCUGGAAGUCGGGGCUGGGCUGUCAGGUCUCCAAGUCCCGCGCAGAGCCGGCGGGAUGGAGCCGCCAAACCACGCGGAGUCGGGGAGCAUGGAGAGAAUCCCCUAACUCCUCCUCCGUGGGGCUUCCCGCGUGGAUUCCCACCCAGUCUCGGUUUGCCGGGGGAGAAGGUGGAGGUGGAGAAAGGGGAGGAGAGGUGGUCUGCCCACGGCCACCAGUGCUCAGGACCUGCGGGCCGAUGGCCAGUGUGGGCGGUGACACCCUUCCCUCGAUGUGGGAGUCACGCCCCACCGUCCCUCCUGCACGCUGGGACAUCUCACUGCGGACGAGGAAACUGAGGCCGGGGGAAGGGGGAUCUCCGGCGCGGAUGCCGGCUGGAAGGCUCCAUCCAGUCCACGCGACCCACCGAGCCGAGGGCUGCUCGCACUCCCGCACAGGCGGCGGAGCUGCCUCGUCGACCCGAAACCGCGGCCAGAAGAUGUCUCCACGGUUGCCUGAGCCCGGGGUCGCAGCCAGGGUUUGGCUUCCAGACCCCCAGGGGAUCCUUCAGCCAGCCCUGGCCGCCCCCGCCGCCUCCCUAGAAACGUGCUUUGGCCGCAAGAGGGCGACAAAGCCCAGACUGCGCGAGUAGACGCGGCGGGUCUCUGGACGUUCCCGGGGCUCCGCGGUGACCGGGUAACAAAGAGCCUGAGCCAGGGCCACUCCAGGGCUCGGUCCAUCAGCAGGCUGUCCAUCACGGGUGAGAUCAUCUGGUACCUGCACGUGACCACCCCACAGACUCUAAGCCGCUUUGACCCGACUUCCUCCUUUCCGACAUCGGUUUCCCUGGUUUCCCCGUCUGUCAGCUGUGGGUUCCAGGAAGAGCUGGGGAGUGGGGCGGCUGCUUCUUCAAGACCGCUCAGAGGCCCCUCCUCCUUGCCACCUUCCCUGUUCCUCCCACUUGGACUGGCAUCUCUGCUUCACACCAGGCACCUCCAGGGUGCACUGGGUGGAGUUCAGGAGGCCAGCUGACCUUCAGCACUAGGCUGCCAGAGUGGGCAGUGAGCCACACCAAGCAAGCUGGCUGUCACAGGCCUGGCUGCAGCUGAUACCAAUGGGACCCCAGCAGUUCAACAGGGACUUCCUCCCUCCCAGCCUCCAUUUGCUCAUCUGUACAGGCUCUGUGCCCUCAGGUCCCAGGCACAUGCUGCCUUCAAAAUAAAAUACAUUUUAAACUGAGGGCAUGGGGCCCUAACAGAGUCCUAACAGAAGCUUAAUGUGGGAAUCUCAGUUCCCAGACCAGGGAUUGAACCCAGGCUGAAGAGGCAAGACUGUCCAGUCCUCACCACUAGGCCUGUCAGGUUUCGGGGUUGUCACUGGGGGCUCCUGAGAGUCUCUCGUGGUGUGGGAGGCAGUGAAGAAGAAAGCCAGCUCAGUGGGUGGGUGCUGUUUUGCCUAUGGGCCCUGGGAGAGCCUGCAUAGAGGGAGGAGUCAGGGUCCCCUGGGUGUUCCUAGACCCAGGAUCCCUGGGCUCCUUGUUCUGCAGCAGGCAGGGUCCCGAGGCCAGUGAGGUGGCCUGGGAAGCAGACUCAUUGUCACCUUGCCAAGGGACCACAGGUCCCCCUCCUGCCAAGGUCCUCAGCCCAGGAGAGGCAAAGCGGCCUGAACGGCAGGUCUGCAGCUGUGCUGCUCAGGACAGAUGGCUAAGUAGCUGUGACAGUCCAGCACACUACCUGCCCAGGUCACCUAGGCCCCUGGGACAUGCAAAGCCCAGGGCUUCACUUCAUAAGUACUUGGAGGUGGCUGGGGUUGGAACAGUGAAACUGGUGCCUCCAGGACCUGGUAAUGAAGGCCCAGUCCUGCUGGGUCUCAGUCCCUAACUGAUGACACCCCUUGGCCCUGAGAAGGGACAUGUGCAUGGGACCCAGCCACUGCUCCCUGCACAUUUCACCCCCACCCUGGGCUCCCAGCCUCCAAGGAAUGUACUUCUGCACCUGCAAACCGGCUCCUGUCUUAGCAGCCCCAUCAGCCCCAUGGAAGGGGAGAGAAAGGCACCCCUCUCACAAUGACAGCCCCUCCCCACUAGCCCCAGCCCAACCCUAAGUGGAGGGCCAGCCAGUGCCUGUGCUGAGGGCCUGGAGGCAGGAAUGCCUCCCCCUCCCCAAGAACAAGACACCCGACCCCCUUGCUGGCUCCUUCAAGCCUGGUAGGUGCAGUCGCCCAUGCCUGUGUCCAAGGCCUGGCCCCUGCCCCACAGCUGCACCUCCACCAGGAUGGGAUCUGCUCCGCUGGGCUCAGCUCCAAUGGGAUCAUCAACCCUGUGGCUAACCCACAUCCUGCCACUUCUGGCCCCCCAGGCUCCACCCUGCCUAUGCCUCCAGUAUUCCCUGCAUCCUCCCCCUGCUCACUGAUUCCUCUGGCAGGCUGCCCUCCCAGCAGCCACAAGGAUCUUCUUUUCUUCUUCUCCUCUUUUUUUUUUUUUUUUCCCUUUCUUUUUGCGGGCCCUGCAGUAUAUGGAGUUCCAAGGCUAGGGAUCAGAUCUGAGCCACAGUUGCAACCUAUGCAGCAGCUGUGGCAACGCUGGAUACUUAACCCACUCACUGUGCCCAGCCUGGGAUCGAACCUGAGUCUCAUCACUCCCAAGAUGUGCACCACAGCAGGAACUCCCAAAGAACUGCUUCUUUUUUUGUUUUUAGGGCCGCACUUGCGGCAUAUGGAAGUUCCCAGGCUAGGGGUCCAAUCAGAGCUACAGCUGCCGGCCUACACCACAGCCACAGCAACGCAGAAUCCGAGCUGCAUCUAAGAUCUACACCACAGCUCACAGCAACGCCAGACCCUUAACCCACUGAGGCCAGAGAUCAAACCUGCAAUUUCAUGGUUCCUAGUCGGAUUCAUUUCCGCUGCCUCAGAACAGGAACUCCCCAAGGAUCUUCUUAUAGUGACAAGCAUCACCUCUUCACAGAGUUUUCCAGAUCACUUCAUGUAGCAUGGGGCCCACUAUCCAACGCUCCAGCCUCCACUUGGCUGUUAUUUCCAUCAGCACCCUGCCCAGCAAACACUGGCUCUUAUUUAGCAUAAGCUCUUGGGUGCCUGUCUUCUUGGCUACACCAGGAGGGAGAGCAUCUUCUGUUGGCCACUUUUUCCAGCAUCCAGAACAAUGCCUGGCAGCUGGUGUUCAAUAAAUGAUUGACUUUAUUCAUUAAAAU